GACAGUCUAAAAUCACGUCUUUCGUUGCAUUACGCAAAUACGUUGUCGUUAAAUGUCGUUCUCUCCGUCUGCAUAUCAUUGCGUUUUGACAUUUUGACAGGCGGAACAAAGUGUACCACGUGAGAAUUACUUCGUCGUGUAUUUAAUUAACGUUAAUUUGCAAAAUGAACAGGCUCUUUGGACGCGCUAAACCCAAGGAUCCGCCACCAAGCAUCACUGACUGUAUCGCAGGGGUUGACAGUAGGGCAGACUCUGCAGAAAAGAAGAUAGCUAAAUUAGAUGCAGAGUUAAAAAAAUACAAAGAUCAAAUGGUCAAGAUGAGAGACGGGCCAGCAAAGAAUGCAGUAAAGGCAAAGGCUCUGCGUGUAUUGAAGCAGCGGAAGAUGUAUGAGGCUCAAGUGGAUAACCUACGUCAGCAGGCAUUUAACAUGGAGCAAGCAAACUAUGCCACUCAGACAUUAAAAGACACUCAAACAACUGUAGUUGCUAUGAAAGAAGGCGUUAAGCAAAUGCAAAAGGAAUUUAAAAAUAUCAACAUUGAUCACAUUGAAGAUAUGCAAGAUGAUUUGGCAGAUAUGUUAGAACAAGCUGACGAAGUACAGGAAGCAAUGGGUCGCAGUUAUGGAAUGCCAGAAAUUGAUGAUGAUGAAUUGGCAGCAGAACUAGAAGCCCUUGGUGAUGAUCUUGCCUUGGAUGAAGAUACUAGUUACUUAGAUGAUGCUAUUAAGACACCUAAUGCCCCAGACAAAGAACCUGGAGCAAGUUCAGUCAAGAACAAGGAUGGCGUUCCAGUGGACGAGUUUGGCUUGCCACAAAUACCUGCUAGUUAAAUUUAAAAAUAUAUCAAAAUUUAUAGAUAAGGCAAAUGUAAGUUUAAGAAUAUUCGCACGCAUGCCCAAAGACGUAAGAUCCUUCAAGAACAAGAUAUACUGCUAGAUCCUUCAGGAACAAGACACACGGCUUUCUUAAUCUUAAUACUUGCAACACAAAUUAAUGCCUUAACAAUGUUUUGUUGACGUAACUUGCGUAAAAGAAAACUCUCGGAUUAUAUCUUUGAAUAAUGAAGACAUGGCAGAUGAAUUAAGAAGACACAGUAAUGACG
This is an RNA transcript of Cyphomyrmex costatus, 1102 nucleotides long. It is a transcript of the gene named vacuolar protein sorting 60, with no coding region annotated. NCBI's taxonomy places the organism in Eukaryota, Metazoa, Arthropoda, Insecta, Hymenoptera, Formicidae. The transcript is spliced from 5 exons. The record is from RefSeq and is a predicted model, not a curated record.